Molecule: long non-coding RNA, 214 nt
Filed under: Mytilus galloprovincialis (Mediterranean mussel)
Lineage: Eukaryota; Metazoa; Mollusca; Bivalvia; Mytilida; Mytilidae
Source: RNAcentral
GUCCCUUAUUCCUAAUAUGACUUUGGAAUCCUAUACAUGUAAGUGAUGCAUGCAUAAGUCACCCUGUCUUUCAAUUGUAAUACAUUCUAUUUUAUCUCAUUUCAAUUUAGCCUAAACAAAAUCAUGUCAAUUUCUAGCCUAUUUUUGAACAUUAUGAGAUCAUUUGAUAAUUUUUAAAUCAUAUUUAAAAUUGAGAAUGGCAGUAGGGAAUGUG